RNAcentral lists this ribosomal RNA (662 nucleotides) under Staphylococcus aureus. Its description in RNAcentral is "bacterial SSU rRNA". It matches the Rfam family "Bacterial small subunit ribosomal RNA", at positions 297 to 950 of the family's 1533-position model. The record is from RNAcentral. Lineage: Bacteria; Bacillati; Bacillota; Bacilli; Caryophanales; Staphylococcaceae.
AGGGUGAUCGGCCACACUGGAACUGAGACACGGUCCAGACUCCUACGGGAGGCAGCAGUAGGGAAUCUUCCGCAAUGGGCGAAAGCCUGACGGAGCAACGCCGCGUGAGUGAUGAAGGUCUUCGGAUCGUAAAACUCUGUUAUUAGGGAAGAACAUAUGUGUAAGUAACUGUGCACAUCUUGACGGUACCUAAUCAGAAAGCCACGGCUAACUACGUGCCAGCAGCCGCGGUAAUACGUAGGUGGCAAGCGUUAUCCGGAAUUAUUGGGCGUAAAGCGCGCGUAGGCGGUUUUUUAAGUCUGAUGUGAAAGCCCACGGCUCAACCGUGGAGGGUCAUUGGAAACUGGAAAACUUGAGUGCAGAAGAGGAAAGUGGAAUUCCAUGUGUAGCGGUGAAAUGCGCAGAGAUAUGGAGGAACACCAGUGGCGAAGGCGACUUUCUGGUCUGUAACUGACGCUGAUGUGCGAAAGCGUGGGGAUCAAACAGGAUUAGAUACCCUGGUAGUCCACGCCGUAAACGAUGAGUGCUAAGUGUUAGGGGGUUUCCGCCCCUUAGUGCUGCAGCUAACGCAUUAAGCACUCCGCCUGGGGAGUACGACCGCAAGGUUGAAACUCAAAGGAAUUGACGGGGACCCGCACAAGCGGUGGAGCAUGUGGUUUAAU